Cavia porcellus (domestic guinea pig) is the source of this 4741-nucleotide long non-coding RNA. RefSeq lists it as uncharacterized. The record is from RefSeq and is a predicted model, not a curated record. The transcript has 2 exons. Lineage: Eukaryota; Metazoa; Chordata; Mammalia; Rodentia; Caviidae.
UUCAGCACACAGGCCGUCACGGGGGUCAGCGCCCUGCGAUCUGAGCCUGCCUACCAAGGAGGAUCAAGCCGGCUGAGCAAGCACAACACGACACAAACCACUGGAGUGCAACCUUAGGAACAGGCCACAGCAGCCCUGUCGAGAUUUACAUGGGAGAAGCAGAAUCAAGCAACCUGAAAUAUUCCGCUGCUGGAGUUCCCUGGGUCAUUCUACUUACUGUAAGAGACAAUUAAGAUGUUCGAAGAGGACCUUAGAAGCUACAGCGGUUCUGCACACAAAGGCUUUGUGUGUACCUGAUUCUAUUGCUGGCAAAGAAUCUGGGCCACACUGGACACACACAUUUCAGGACAAGUUGUAAUAUAAAUUAGUAAUCUGCAAGAGAAAAAUCUCAGAUCCUAAAGUACCUAUAAGUUCAAGAUGCGUUGAGGCCCAGAUAGAACACACAGUAAAACAGAUUCUGAAGAUUCCUCACGGAAGCUCCCUGGUCCUGCCAUUGCUCCUGGUUGUACCUCCCAGGUGGCCCUGCCUGUGCUGUAAUUACUGUACGUGCUUAAAAAACAUGAACUGUCUCACAGAUUUCCCAGCUUCCCCAGGCUGACUCGUUCAUUUGUAGUCUACUGAAUGUUGACUGAGUAAAGGACAUGGCAGUGUUAAGGUUAAGAGAAGGAAAGGGUCACCCAACAAACUUCUCUGAGCGCAUUUCAUCCUUAAUGCAGUCCAGUCCUCUAGAAACAAGAUCCAGAGCUGCCACGGAAGGCUCUCACUUACUCACAGGUGGCUCUGUAGCCACAUGGUAUCCCACCAGAUAUGCCAACUGCUUCACCUCUUUGCCAGUGACAGUCCAUCUUGAGGACUUUCAACACUGCUGGACAAUGUGAGUUAAUGCUCUUCAAUAGGAUGUGCUGACUGGGUCGGGCACAACAGGGUGUCUCUCACACUGGAAGGGCUUCUUCAGGAAGGGAGAGAGGGAUGGAAGGAGGAAGGAAGGGAGGGAGAGAGGGAGGGAGGGAGCGAGGGAGGAGGUAAGGAGAGAAAGGAAGGAAAUAACGUAGAAAGGGCGCGUGCCACCUCCAAGCUGGACACGUCACACCUCCGCCACAGCUUUUCCUCUCUUCUUCCCCCUUGUACCUGCUGAAUGGAGAAGUUUAAGGAUUGAAAGAAACUUCUAAAGCCUAAGUUGCUACUUGGAGGAAAGUCAACCAGUAGACUCAGGCAACUAAGCUAAAACUGUAAUACAAACAACACACUUUUCAUUUUAUUUUUAAAUCGAAAUUUGAAAUUUUGAAAUUCUGUGUUGUUUCUUAAAAUUCUGCCAGGGGCCAUUUAAAUUUUCUUUUCUCUUCUGGGAAGGAAUGUACCUAAAUCUUCCCAGAAAGAUGAGAAAGUUAGUCCCAAUUCAGUCUGAGAAAACUGGUGUUAUUCCAAAGAUCUUCAUGGACUUGAGCUGGAAUGGGAAAACCAGGCUGCUGAGACUUGGUAUGAAUUUGAGGUCUGCUGUUCUCUCCCUGUUUCUCAUCUACCAGGCAUGGAAAAGACACUGAAUAAUUCAAUUCCAAAAACAAGUGUUAAGCCCGAACUAUGUGCAGAAACCAACCACAGGAGGGUCUCCCCUAGACACUCCGUGGAUAGCCGUCCUCUCUGGUUCUUGUGAUGAGGGUGGUGCUCCAGGGAACAACACAGCUUAUUCAGACAGUUAACCGAAGACCUGGGAACAAGAAAUAAUUCAGUUACGGAGAAAUGGAAAAGGGACGUGAGAAGGUGAUGCAGCAUGGAGGCAGGAAGCAGAGCUUGGAAAGACCCUCGAAUCUUUCUGAAGGACCUGGAAGUGAUUCCCGUGGAUGGGAGGCUUUGACUUAGCCUUCGUUUCAUUACUGCCCCGAUUCUUUACUCUUCCCUUGUAGACCCUACUGUGUUACUGUUUAAUUACCUUUUCAUUUCUUUAGCUCUUACUUAUUUAAAGUAGCUAGGCUAUUUCCUGCUUUUGCAUAAACAAUUUGAAUUACAGUCCCAUAAACUGGGUACAAGCAAAAAGGGAAAUGUUUUCUCCUUCCCCAGGCCUGGCUCCUUUGUUAGGCCCUAAACAGAGUCUUAUGGGCCCUGGGCACACACAGACCAAGCAAUACAACUUCUAGAUCUUUCUCUACGCAGUUAAGCACAGACCACAAUACAGUAGCUUGUGUUUCUACACAUUGCUUUUGGUCAGAUGUGAAGAAAAUAAAUAAAUUUUUGUGAAUUCUGAAAUUGGCUGCCACAGAACAAGGUUGCAUAACCGGUUUCUCUGCAGGGAACACCCAUUUUUCUGGGAAAAUUUGGGCACAUUCUUUCCUAGAAGAGAAAGGAAAGACUAAGUGGCCUUUGGCAGAGUUUUAGACCCAAUUGUUUAAAAAUUUUACAUUACCAAGAUGAAAUGGUACAGCUGUGAAAAUUUCGAUUUCAAGUUGCCCAUAGUCUCCAAACAAUUCAUAGCUCUCUGGCAUACCCCUUACUCAGCCUGAGAUGCAAACUUUGUUAACAGCCUCACUUGCAAAACCAGGUGAAUGGCUCCAUCCCAGCUCUUCCUGAGGCUACUGCAGGCCUAGAUCUAGUGCUAUCAUUCAAGAGAUAACCAAACUGAGAUGGAAAUCCUAAUUUUGUCUUCUCUGACUCCUAAGGCUUAAGCAAGCUAGGUAACUUUGCUAGGUAAAUGUUUAUCUCUAAAUAAAAGAAAAGACUUAGGUAAGAUUCCCUUCUCCUUCACCCUCUUGACUCAUCUCAUUCUUUACUUUGUAUCAAGAUACAGUCUUUGUUUCUAUCUUCAUCUUUAAUGGAAGACUGUUUUUAGUUUUCUUAAAGCAUUAUAUUGAGAUUGUUCCUGAUCUCCAGUCUAAACACUCAACAACUGUCUAUUACAUUGAUCCGGUUCGUUUUCCUCACGGAAUUCAUCAUUACCUAAAAUUUUAUUUUUGAAAAAACUUAUUCGCUUGUUGACCUCUACGCCUCUCUAUAUAAUAGACCAUAAAUUUCAUGAGCGCUUGAACCUUGUCUACUUGUUCAACACUGCAAGGAUAGUACCUCACACAUAGUAUUCCCCUAAUUAAAUGAAUAAGAAAGUGAAUGAAUCCAAUAUGCACUGUGGGAAGUGUCAGUGUUAGAUUGUGCUAACCUUGUGGGACUCUCCCCGAGAAUGGGAUGAUUCGGUCCAAUGAGAACUCUAUCCAUGAGAUAAUCCAGGACUGAGGAAGAAGAAAGAGGGUAAAGAGGAAAUGAAGUCAGAAGGACUAAGGAGGAAGAAUUUCUGCGAGCCUUGAUGGAAGCAAACUUGGUAGUGACUAGACAAACAUCUGCACUUCCUUUUCUGUACCUCAAGGAUAUUUCUAAUACAGGCAAGGCCUGCGGCUAUUCUUGUACUUCUUAGGCCAAUUGGAAAGCAUCUAUUUAUCUCUGCAUCACAGUGAUACCGUGGUGUUGUGAGUAUUAAAGUGUAGAAACCCCACAGCACCCUGAUACAAAUUAAGUAACAGACACGGCUCCUGGAUCUCUCUCCUCCAGGCACCUUCAGCAACUCCUUCUCUACUCCUCAGCUCUUGUUCACAUCUACACAUACACUCACAGCUUUUACCUUUAAAAUAAUCCUUUAUUCCUGCAAUUUAUUUAUCUCUCUGCUCCUCUUCACAAUCCAGAUUCCAAAAAUAACCUGACCCUUUGACUAGUUGGCCAUCCAAAAUACAGUUACAGAGACCGCUUGAACCAAGGCCACCAGCAAUUUCCCUAUUGUCAAUAAAUUACUCUCACCUUAGUAUUAUUGGCUCAAAACCUUGACCCAUAAGCUACUCAGAAUAGCUACUAUAGCAAAAAAUUGUUUUUGAAAAACUUUUCAGACUUCAUCAAUCUAUUUUAACACUAUAGAAAAAAAAUUUUUAAAGCAAUAAGAUUUGGCUAAAUAUUUAGAAGGUGACAGGAAGCAUAUAACCAAUUGGUAGAAUAUGUUUUAGCAAAUCAGAAAAUAUUUUAUAAGUUUCUACAACAUAAUGCCUAAAUGUACAUUAUAAAUAUAUUUAAUAAUAAAAGCCAUGCUAUUUUAUUAAUGUAAAUUGUCAUAUAUUCAGACUUGCAAAAGACAAUUUUCAAAGAUAUUAUUUUUCUAAAUAUACCUCCAAUAUUUGUAAUUGUAAAACAAGUCCAAGAUGUAAUUAUAUCUACUUUUUUAAAUCCAAAGACACACGCAAAAAAAAAAAAAAUAUGUCUCAAAGUCAGAGUCUUAACAGAGGCAAAAAGCUGUUGGGAACAUUUUAGACAACAUUAAGAUAACAUAAACACAGAAUUUGGAACAUAAACAUAGAACUUAAAUUAGGAAAAAGGAUAAAUGUGAUGAUGCAGUGGAAAUCAUCAUAAACAUUUUUUUCUUCUUAGAUUGUGGUAAAACAUAUGUAACACGUAAUUAGCCAUUGCAACCAAUUUUAAGCGUAUAAUUCUGUGGCUUUCAGUACAUUUGUUUUGUUAUACAAUCAUCUGUAUUUUCCAUUUCCAGAAUAUUUUUCAUGUUCCCAAGCUGAAACUCGAUGCCCAUUCUACAGUAACACCCAUUUCCUUAGAUCUUGGAAACCGCUCUUCUACUUUAUGACUCUGUGAAUCUGACUUUUCUAGAUACAUCAGAUAAGUGCACUCAUCCAAUAUCUGUUGUUUGUGAAUAGCUUAUUUCUCUUUGCAUGUCUUUUUUCAUCCAUGUUAAGAAUGAAUAAUAUUCUAUUGUGUGGACAUCUCA